RNAcentral lists this ribosomal RNA (400 nucleotides) under uncultured bacterium. RNAcentral describes it as "bacterial SSU rRNA". It matches the Rfam family "Bacterial small subunit ribosomal RNA", at positions 356 to 773 of the family's 1533-position model. The record is from RNAcentral.
AGGGAAUAUUGGACAAUGGGCGAAAGCCUGAUCCAGCAAUGCCGCGUGAGUGAUGAAGGCCUUAGGGUUGUAAAGCUCUUUUACCCGGGAUGAUAAUGACAGUACCGGGAGAAUAAGCUCCGGCUAACUCCGUGCCAGCAGCCGCGGUAAUACGGAGGGAGCUAGCGUUGUUCGGAAUUACUGGGCGUAAAGCGCACGUAGGCGGCUAUUCAAGUCAGAGGUGAAAGCCCGGGGCUCAACCCCGGAACUGCCUUUGAAACUAGAUAGCUUGAAUCCAGGAGAGGUGAGUGGAAUUCCGAGUGUAGAGGUGAAAUUCGUAGAUAUUCGGAAGAACACCAGUGGCGAAGGCGGCUCACUGGACUGGUAUUGACGCUGAGGUGCGAAAGCGUGGGGAGCAAAC